UACGGGGGGAGCAAGCGUUGUUCGGAUUUACUGGGCGUAAAGGGCGCGUAGGCGGCCAGCACAAGUCAGUUGUGAAAUCUCCGAGCUUAACUCGGAAAGGUCAACUGAUACUGUGCGGCUAGAGUGCGGAAGGGGCAACUGGAAUUCUUGGUGUAGCGGUGAAAUGCGCAGAUAUCAGGAGGAACACCGAUGGCGAAGGCAGGUCUCUGGGCAUUAACUGACGCUGAGGAGCGAAAGCAUGGGGAGCGAACAGG
Molecule: ribosomal RNA, 254 nt
Filed under: uncultured bacterium
Lineage: Bacteria
Description: partial 16S ribosomal RNA
Rfam family: Bacterial small subunit ribosomal RNA
Source: RNAcentral